UACCAGCACCCCGAGUGGUCGGGACGAUUAUUGGGCCUAAAGCAUCCGUAGCCGGUCUUGCAAGUCUUCCGUUAAAUCCAGCUGCUUAACGGAUGGGCUGCGGAAGAUACUACAAGACUAGGAGGCGGGAGAGGCAAGCGGUACUCAGUGGGUAGGGGUAAAAUCCUCUGAUCCAUUGAAGACCACCAGUGGCGAAGGCGGCUUGCCAGAACGCGCUCGACGGUGAGGGAUGAAAGCUGGGGGAGCAAACCGG
This 253-nucleotide ribosomal RNA is filed under the name uncultured bacterium. Its description in RNAcentral is "partial 16S ribosomal RNA". It matches the Rfam family "Archaeal small subunit ribosomal RNA", at positions 474 to 727 of the family's 1478-position model. The record is from RNAcentral.